RNAcentral lists this ribosomal RNA (1603 nucleotides) under Escherichia coli. RNAcentral describes it as "partial 23S ribosomal RNA". It matches the Rfam family "Bacterial large subunit ribosomal RNA", at positions 418 to 2005 of the family's 2925-position model. Lineage: Bacteria; Pseudomonadati; Pseudomonadota; Gammaproteobacteria; Enterobacterales; Enterobacteriaceae. The record is from RNAcentral.
CGGGACACGUGGUAUCCUGUCUGAAUAUGGGGGGACCAUCCUCCAAGGCUAAAUACUCCUGACUGACCGAUAGUGAACCAGUACCGUGAGGGAAAGGCGAAAAGAACCCCGGCGAGGGGAGUGAAAAAGAACCUGAAACCGUGUACGUACAAGCAGUGGGAGCCUCUUUAUGGGGUGACUGCGUACCUUUUGUAUAAUGGGUCAGCGACUUAUAUUCUGUAGCAAGGUUAACCGAAUAGGGGAGCCGAAGGGAAACCGAGUCUUAACUGGGCGUUAAGUUGCAGGGUAUAGACCCGAAACCCGGUGAUCUAGCCAUGGGCAGGUUGAAGGUUGGGUAACACUAACUGGAGGACCGAACCGACUAAUGUUGAAAAAUUAGCGGAUGACUUGUGGCUGGGGGUGAAAGGCCAAUCAAACCGGGAGAUAGCUGGUUCUCCCCGAAAGCUAUUUAGGUAGCGCCUCGUGAAUUCAUCUCCGGGGGUAGAGCACUGUUUCGGCAAGGGGGUCAUCCCGACUUACCAACCCGAUGCAAACUGCGAAUACCGGAGAAUGUUAUCACGGGAGACACACGGCGGGUGCUAACGUCCGUCGUGAAGAGGGAAACAACCCAGACCGCCAGCUAAGGUCCCAAAGUCAUGGUUAAGUGGGAAACGAUGUGGGAAGGCCCAGACAGCCAGGAUGUUGGCUUAGAAGCAGCCAUCAUUUAAAGAAAGCGUAAUAGCUCACUGGUCGAGUCGGCCUGCGCGGAAGAUGUAACGGGGCUAAACCAUGCACCGAAGCUGCGGCAGCGACGCUUAUGCGUUGUUGGGUAGGGGAGCGUUCUGUAAGCCUGCGAAGGUGUGCUGUGAGGCAUGCUGGAGGUAUCAGAAGUGCGAAUGCUGACAUAAGUAACGAUAAAGCGGGUGAAAAGCCCGCUCGCCGGAAGACCAAGGGUUCCUGUCCAACGUUAAUCGGGGCAGGGUGAGUCGACCCCUAAGGCGAGGCCGAAAGGCGUAGUCGAUGGGAAACAGGUUAAUAUUCCUGUACUUGGUGUUACUGCGAAGGGGGGACGGAGAAGGCUAUGUUGGCCGGGCGACGGUUGUCCCGGUUUAAGCGUGUAGGCUGGUUUUCCAGGCAAAUCCGGAAAAUCAAGGCUGAGGCGUGAUGACGAGGCACUACGGUGCUGAAGCAACAAAUGCCCUGCUUCCAGGAAAAGCCUCUAAGCAUCAGGUAACAUCAAAUCGUACCCCAAACCGACACAGGUGGUCAGGUAGAGAAUACCAAGGCGCUUGAGAGAACUCGGGUGAAGGAACUAGGCAAAAUGGUGCCGUAACUUCGGGAGAAGGCACGCUGAUAUGUAGGUGAAGCGACUUGCUCGUGGAGCUGAAAUCAGUCGAAGAUACCAGCUGGCUGCAACUGUUUAUUAAAAACACAGCACUGUGCAAACACGAAAGUGGACGUAUACGGUGUGACGCCUGCCCGGUGCCGGAAGGUUAAUUGAUGGGGUUAGCGGUAACGCGAAGCUCUUGAUCGAAGCCCCGGUAAACGGCGGCCGUAACUAUAACGGUCCUAAGGUAGCGAAAUUCCUUGUCGGGUAAGUUCCGACCUGCACGAAUGGCGUAAU